This 253-nucleotide ribosomal RNA is filed under the name uncultured bacterium. RNAcentral describes it as "partial 16S ribosomal RNA". It matches the Rfam family "Bacterial small subunit ribosomal RNA", at positions 524 to 776 of the family's 1533-position model. The record is from RNAcentral.
UACAGAGGUCUCAAGCGUUGUUCGGAUUCAUUGGGCGUAAAGGGUGCGUAGGUGGCGGGGUAAGUCAGGUGUGAAAUCUCGGGGCUCAACCCCGAAACUGCAUUUGAUACUGCCUUGCUCGAGUACUGGAGAGGAGAUUGGAAUUUACGGUGUAGCAGUGAAAUGCGUAGAUAUCGGGAGGAACACCAGUGGCGAAGGCGACUACCUGGCCUGUUCUUGACGCUGAGGCGCGAAAGCUAGGGGAGCAAACGGG